RNAcentral lists this ribosomal RNA (538 nucleotides) under uncultured bacterium. RNAcentral describes it as "bacterial SSU rRNA". It matches the Rfam family "Bacterial small subunit ribosomal RNA", at positions 356 to 896 of the family's 1533-position model. The record is from RNAcentral.
GAGGAAUAUUGGACAAUGGUCGGAAGACUGAUCCAGCCAUGCCGCGUGCAGGAUGAAGGUCCUAUGGAUUGUAAACUGCUUUUGUAAGGGAAGAAUAAGGGGUACGUGUACUUUGAUGACGGUACCUUACGAAUAAGCAUCGGCUAACUCCGUGCCAGCAGCCGCGGUAAUACGGAGGAUGCGAGCGUUAUCCGGAAUCAUUGGGUUUAAAGGGUCCGUAGGCGGGCUGAUAGGUCAGAGGUGAAAGCGCUUAGCUCAACUAAGCAACUGCCUUUGAAACUGUUAGUCUUGAAUGAUUGUGAAGUAGUUGGAAUGUGUAGUGUAGCGGUGAAAUGCUUAGAUAUUACACAGAACACCGAUAGCGAAGGCAUAUUACUAACAAUUUAUUGACGCUGAUGGACGAAAGCGUGGGGAGCGAACAGGAUUAGAUACCCUGGUAGUCCACGCUGUAAACGAUGGAUACUAGCUGUUUGGAGCAAUCUGAGUGGCUAAGCGAAAGUGAUAAGUAUCCCACCUGGGGAGUACGCACGCAAGUGUG